UGUAUAGGACUGCUCAUCUGAUCAGUGGAAAUGUCAUGAAACCAAACUCAAGCCUUAGGAAGUGCCAGCUGUAGAAGAAUGUGAUAAAGUACUAAAACUAGUAAGACAAAAUGGUGAGGUCUGUAACACAUCUGUAAUGAAGCAAAUAUUCAGGUUGAUUGACAACAUCCACUCUGGGGUCUGGAAUGCUCUUACUGACACCAGUGGACUUUGGAUCAGGACCCAGUACCAUAUGUGUUUACUCUCUGACAAAAAGUCUCAGAACAGCAGAAACUUCCUAUGGCUGAAGAAGGGUGACUGCG
Molecule: long non-coding RNA, 302 nt
Organism: Alligator sinensis (Chinese alligator)
Lineage: Eukaryota; Metazoa; Chordata; Crocodylia; Alligatoridae
Exons: 3
Source: RefSeq, a predicted model, not a curated record